Molecule: ribosomal RNA, 452 nt
Filed under: uncultured bacterium
Lineage: Bacteria
Description: bacterial SSU rRNA
Rfam family: Bacterial small subunit ribosomal RNA
Source: RNAcentral
AGCGAACGCUGGCGGCAUGCUUAACACAUGCAAGUCGCACGGAGGGGGCAACCCCUCAGUGGCGGACGGGUGAGUAACGCGUAGGUAUCUAUCCAUGGGUGGGGGAUAACAGUGGGAAACUGCUGCUAAUACCGCAUGACACCUGAGGGUCAAAGGCGCAAGUCGCCUGUGGAGGAGCCUUCGUCCGAUUAGCUAGUUGGUGGGGUAAAGGCCUACCAAGGCGACGAUCGGUAGCUGGUCUGAGAGGAUGAUCAGCCACACUGGGACUGAGAUACGGGCCAGACUCCUACGGGAGGCAGCAGUGAGGAAUAUUGCGCAAUGGGCGAAAGCCUGACGCAGCGACGCCGCGUGGGGGAUGAAGGUUUUCGGAUUGUAAACCCCUUUCAUGAGGAAAGAUAAAGUGGGUAACCACUUAGACGGUACCUCAAGAAGAAGCCACGGCCAACUUCGUG